AACGGAAAGGCCCUGCUUUUGUGGGGUGCUCGAGUGGCGAACGGGUGAGUAACACGUGAGUAACCUGCCCUUGACUUUGGGAUAACUUCAGGAAACUGGGGCUAAUACCGGAUAGGAGCUCCUGCUGCAUGGUGGGGGUUGGAAAGUUUCGGCGGUUGGGGAUGGACUCGCGGCUUAUCAGCUUGUUGGUGGGGUAGUGGCUUACCAAGGCUUUGACGGGUAGCCGGCCUGAGAGGGUGACCGGCCACAUUGGGACUGAGAUACGGCCCAGACUCCUACGGGAGGCAGCAGUGGGGAAUAUUGCACAAUGGGCGGAAGCCUGAUGCAGCAACGCCGCGUGCGGGAUGACGGCCUUCGGGUUGUAAACCGCUUUCGCCUGUGACGAAGCGUGAGUGACGGUAAUGGGUAAAGAAGCACCGGCUAACUAC
RNAcentral lists this ribosomal RNA (428 nucleotides) under uncultured Propionibacterium sp. RNAcentral's name for it is "bacterial SSU rRNA". It matches the Rfam family "Bacterial small subunit ribosomal RNA", at positions 65 to 504 of the family's 1533-position model. Lineage: Bacteria; Bacillati; Actinomycetota; Actinomycetes; Propionibacteriales; Propionibacteriaceae. The record is from RNAcentral.